RNAcentral lists this ribosomal RNA (467 nucleotides) under uncultured bacterium. Its description in RNAcentral is "partial 16S ribosomal RNA". It matches the Rfam family "Bacterial small subunit ribosomal RNA", at positions 28 to 506 of the family's 1533-position model. The record is from RNAcentral.
GACGAACGCUGGCGGCGUGCUUAACACAUGCAAGUCGAACGGAAAGGCCCUGCUUUUGUGGGGUGCUCGAGUGGCGAACGGGUGAGUAACACGUGAGUAACCUGCCCUUGACUUUGGGAUAACUUCAGGAAACUGGGGCUAAUACCGGAUAGGAGCUCCUGCUGCAUGGUGGGGGUUGGAAAUUUUCGGCGGUUGGGGAUGGACUCGCGGCUUAUCAGCUUGUUGGUGGGGUAGUGGCUUCCCCAUGCUUUGACGGGUAGCUGGCCUGAGAGGGUGAACGGCCACAAGGGGACUGAGAGACGGACCAGACUCCGACGGGAGGCAGCAGUGGGGAAUAUGGCACAGUGAGCGGAAGCCGGAUGAAGAAACGCCGCGUGCGGGAUGACGGCCUUCGGGUUGUAAAAAGCUUUCGCCUGUGACGACGCGUGAGUGACGGUACUGGGUAAAGAAGCACCGGCGAACUACGU